GUUUGCUGUUCAGUUUUCGAUUUCGUUUGCGAUUAAGCCCCAAAACAUAAACCAGCAUUCGGUGCUGCCUGCUCUGCGAUAUUUGGCUGCAGCCUGUAGACCCGCUGUAAUGAGCAAACGACAUGUUCACUUGCCUCAAUUGCUAAAUUGCUGCCACACUGCCGUACUGCCGUACUGCCGCACUGCCGCACUGUUGCACUCUUGCACUGCCUCUUGCUGUCGUCUCGCUGUCUUGCCAUUUCGCCUGCACUUCGUAGUCGUUCUGGCGUGCACUCGAUUGCCAAUUGGAAGUGCAACUGGAAGUGGAACGUGGAAGGUGGGGGCUGCCACCUGCAGCGAUAUCUACUGCUCCGCCAUUGUCUCGCAGCUCCUGCUCCCAAUUAUCCGACAGUCAACAGGCAUUCCUUCCCCCGAAAGCUGAUGACAUUUCCGGACUAAAAAGAGAGCUCUUUCGAUCCUCAAAGAUGGCAUGGAUAUUCACAUACAAUCUAUCAAGUGAAACGCAACCGCUUGUCGUACGGUAUUGGAGCAUCUAUCGAUAUGAGAACCUCUCCUCUAUCGUGUCUUCAUCUGCAGCCAGAGCCACGGCCACAGCCACAGUUG
RNAcentral lists this unclassified non-coding RNA (603 nucleotides) under Drosophila pseudoobscura pseudoobscura. Its description in RNAcentral is "GA33034". Lineage: Eukaryota; Metazoa; Arthropoda; Insecta; Diptera; Drosophilidae. The record is from RNAcentral.